GAUGAACGCUGGCGGCGUGCCUAAUACAUGCAAGUCGAGCGAACAGACGAGGAGCUUGCUCCUCUGACGUUAGCGGCGGACGGGUGAGUAACACGUGGAUAACCUACCUAUAAGACUGGGAUAACUUCGGGAAACCGGAGCUAAUACCGGAUAAUAUAUUGAACCGCAUGGUUCAAUAGUGAAAGACGGUUUUGCUGUCACUUAUAGAUGGAUCCGCGCCGCAUUAGCUAGUUGGUAAGGUAACGGCUUACCAAGGCAACGAUGCGUAGCCGACCUGAGAGGGUGAUCGGCCACCCUGGAACUGAGACCCGGUCCCGACUCCUACGGGAGGCAGCAGUAGGGAAUCUUCCGCAAUGGGCGAAAGCCCGACGGAGCAACGCCGCGUGAGUGAUGAAGGUCUUCGGAUCGUAAAACUCUGUUAUUAGGGAAGAACAAAUGUGUAAGUAACUAUGCACGUCUUGACGGUACCUAAUCAGAAAGCCACGGCUAACUACGUG
Molecule: ribosomal RNA, 497 nt
Filed under: uncultured bacterium
Lineage: Bacteria
Description: partial 16S ribosomal RNA
Rfam family: Bacterial small subunit ribosomal RNA
Source: RNAcentral